GACGAACCGUACAAACGUUAUUCGGAAUCACUGGGCUUAAAGGGUGCGUAGGCGGCCUGGCAAGUUGGGUGUGAAAUACCUCGGCUCAACCGAGGAACGGCGCUCAAAACUGCCAGGCUAGAGGGAGAUAGAGGUGAGCGGAACUUAAGGUGGAGCGGUGAAAUGCGUUGAUAUCUUAAGGAACACCCGUGGCGAAAGCGGCUCACUGGAUCUCUUCUGACGCUCAGGCACGAAAGCUAGGGGAGCGAACGGG
RNAcentral lists this ribosomal RNA (253 nucleotides) under uncultured bacterium. RNAcentral describes it as "partial 16S ribosomal RNA". It matches the Rfam family "Bacterial small subunit ribosomal RNA", at positions 524 to 776 of the family's 1533-position model. The record is from RNAcentral.